Molecule: transfer RNA, 90 nt
Filed under: Actinomycetota bacterium
Lineage: Bacteria; Bacillati; Actinomycetota
Description: tRNA-Ser
Rfam family: tRNA
About the family: Transfer RNA (tRNA) molecules are approximately 80 nucleotides in length. Their secondary structure includes four short double-helical elements and three loops (D, anti-codon, and T loops). Further hydrogen bonds mediate the characteristic L-shaped molecular structure. tRNAs have two regions of fundamental functional importance: the anti-codon, which is responsible for specific mRNA codon recognition, and the 3' end, to which the tRNAs corresponding amino acid is attached (by aminoacyl-tRNA synthetases). tRNAs cope with the degeneracy of the genetic code in two manners: having more than one tRNA (with a specific anti-codon) for a particular amino acid; and 'wobble' base-pairing, i.e. permitting non-standard base-pairing at the 3rd anti-codon position.
Source: RNAcentral
GGAGACGUGCCUGAGAGGCCGAAAGGAGCCGCCUGCUAAGCGGUUAGGGGGUGUUGAGCUCCCUCGUGAGUUCGAAUCUCACCGUCUCCG